GACGAACGCUGGCGGCGUGCUUAACACAUGCAAGUCGAGCGGUAAGGCCCUUUCGGGGUACACGAGCGGCGAACGGGUGAGUAACACGUGGGUGACCUGCCCUCAGCUCUGGGAUAAGCCUGGGAAACCGGGUCUAAUACCGGAUAUGACUCCAUGACGCAUGUUGUGGGGUGGAAAGCCUUGUGCGGCUGAGGAUGGGCCCGCGGCCUAUCAGCUUGUUGGUGGGGUGAUGGCCUACCAAGGCGACGACGGGUAGCCGGCCUGAGAGGGCGACCGGCCACACUGGGACUGAGACACGGCCC
RNAcentral lists this ribosomal RNA (302 nucleotides) under uncultured bacterium. RNAcentral describes it as "bacterial SSU rRNA". It matches the Rfam family "Bacterial small subunit ribosomal RNA", at positions 28 to 332 of the family's 1533-position model. The record is from RNAcentral.